This is a long non-coding RNA of Drosophila teissieri, 246 nucleotides long. RefSeq lists it as uncharacterized. NCBI's taxonomy places the organism in Eukaryota, Metazoa, Arthropoda, Insecta, Diptera, Drosophilidae. The transcript has 2 exons. The record is from RefSeq and is a predicted model, not a curated record.
AAAAAAAGUGUUAUGGGAUGAGGACUUGAAGGAGCGAGAACUGGCUGGAAGUAUUUGGUGUGUUCAUAACUUUCAUUCAAGAUAUAUAAAACAAUAUGUAUGAAGGGAACGGAAUUAAGGGAACUUGUGAGUACUGGGUACAUUCAUUUAUGCGUCUGCGUUCGCCGUCGGUAGCCGCCGCCAAUGGACGCUUACUUAAGCUAAAAGCUUUUGUGUAUAAAUUUUAAUUAAAAUGCAACAAUUAAA